UACGUAGGGUGCGAGCGUUUGUCCGGAUUUAUUGGGCGUAAAGAGCUCGUAGGCGGUUUGUCGCGUCGGCCGUGAAAUCUCCACGCUUAACGUGGAGCGUGCGGUCGAUACGGGCAGACUUGAGUUCGGUAGGGGAGACUGGAAUUCCUGGUGUAGCGGUGAAAUGCGCAGAUAUCAGGAGGAACACCGGUGGCGAAGGCGGGUCUCUGGGCCGAUACUGACGCUGAGGAGCGAAAGCGUGGGGAGCGAACAGG
RNAcentral lists this ribosomal RNA (254 nucleotides) under uncultured bacterium. RNAcentral describes it as "partial 16S ribosomal RNA". It matches the Rfam family "Bacterial small subunit ribosomal RNA", at positions 524 to 776 of the family's 1533-position model. The record is from RNAcentral.